UCCUGGCUGUGCGUGUCCCGGGGUGCGCGUGUCCCGUGUGGCCGUGGAGGGGUGUGCGGGUCCCCGGUGUGCGGGUCCCCGGUGUGCCCACGUCCCUGUGCCCCGGCUGUGCCUGUCCCCGUGUGGCCGUGUCCCUGUGUGGCCGUGUCCCCGGUGUGCGUGCCCCUGCUGUGCCCACGUCCCCGUGCCCCGACUGUGCCUGUCCCCACUUGGUUCAUGCCCUAGGCGUGCCCAUGUCCCUAUGCUUGUGCCAUAGGUGUGCCCACGCUCUAGAUGUGACUGUCCCUGGUGUGCUCAUGUCCUGCCAGGUGUGUGCAUGUCCCUGUGUGCCCAUGCCAUGGGUGUGUCUUUGCCUUGGGUGUGCAUGUCUCCAGUGUGCCAGUGCCAUAGGUGUGUCCGUGCCCCUGGUGUGCCUUUGUCCCUGGUGUGUCCAUGCCAUGGGUGUCACUGUGUCCCUGGUGUGCCCAUGCCCCAGGUGUCACUAUGUCCCUGGUGUGCCUGUGUCCCUGGUGUGUCCAUGCCCCAGGUGUCACUCUGUCCCUGGUGUGUCCAUGCCCCAGGUGUCACUCUGUCCCUGGUGUGCCCACUGUCCCUGGUGUGCCAGGGCCUCCCCACCCUCACAGGGAAGAAUUCCUUCCCAAUGUCUGCCCUAUUUCAGCUUAAAGCCAUUCCUCCUUGUCCUAUCUGUCCUUGCCCAAAGUCCCUCUCCAGCUCUCUGGGAGCCCCUUUAGGCACUGGGUGGGGCUCUGUGUGUCCCUGGAGCCUUCUCUUGUCCAGGAUGAACAACCCCAGCUCUCCCAGCCCAUGUCCAGGUGUCCCCACAGGUGAUGUGCACCUGCAAACCUUCUCAUCUCCCAGCAUUUCAUCCCCAGCAGGGGACAAAAUCCAGCCCUUCCCCUGCCUGCCUCUCCCCAGGGCUGUCCCCGUCACCUCUGUUUGGAUUUCUUCUGUUUGUCCUGCUGUCAUUGUCACCCUGUGCCACCAUCCAUUCCUGUUUGUUUUGGGAGGACAAGGUAUGAGAUUUGGCUGGUGAACAAAGGUUCAUAUUGAGGAUUUUUUGUUGUUUAGACCUAGAUCCAGUGUACAUUUGUACAAAUGCUUAAUUUUCAACCCCAGCCAGCAAGUCCUGGUGAAUUAAUUGGGAUUUUGAGCACAUGCUCUGAGAAGGACUCAGGAAUGCUCAGAGGCUUGUUUUGAUGUGCAGGCUCCUUCUGCUGGGAGAUGCUGCUUCAGAGAGGUCAUUAAUAGUUGUGCUUUUCCCACUGGGCACAAACCUCAGGCCAGCCCCUCAUGCCACAUGGAGAAAAUAAAUCUGCAAAGAUUUUAAUGCUCAGAAAACCAAUAAUUCAAAAUUCACUUUUAAAGAAAACCAACUGAUUGGGAAGAACUGGUUUAACAACCCAAACUGCCUUUCCACCCUCAUUGGUGACUUCUGAGUUCUUUUCCCUUGAAGCUUCAGAACAGAUCCCAGGGUUGUGGCAGAUCCCUCCUGAGGGGGUGCUGGGCGAGUGACUUUCCUGUCUCCCUGCCUCAGUUUCCCCAAGGGUAUGUGCUGUGCUGCCCAGGGACUUGGGGACAGCACACACACAAUGGAAAUGCAGAGACUGGGGUGUGGAACUUGUCUAAAUAAAUGGAGCAGUUAAUUUUCUUUCAGGAGGAAGCUGAAAUUCUCACAUAACAUCAAAUAGUUCUGGUGAUUUGUGGCUUUCAGAGCACUUCCAGGCUUUGCUUCUAAAACUUUUUUUUAUUAUUCUUUUUAAAAAGGCACAGUUAGCAACAAUAUGUUGUGUAAACUUAGAUGCAUAAGUCUGUCAAAUGUCCAGUUGUGUGCUUUUCCUGGCUGGUGUCCAUGUUUUCACUGCAUCUGUACCAAUUGCAGUUAAAAAAAAAAAAAACAAACAACAAAA
This is a long non-coding RNA of Haemorhous mexicanus (house finch), 1907 nucleotides long. RefSeq lists it as uncharacterized. Lineage: Eukaryota; Metazoa; Chordata; Aves; Passeriformes; Fringillidae. The transcript has 2 exons. The record is from RefSeq and is a predicted model, not a curated record.